Molecule: ribosomal RNA, 464 nt
Filed under: Acinetobacter baumannii
Lineage: Bacteria; Pseudomonadati; Pseudomonadota; Gammaproteobacteria; Moraxellales; Moraxellaceae
Description: bacterial SSU rRNA
Rfam family: Bacterial small subunit ribosomal RNA
Source: RNAcentral
CCUACGGGUGGCUGCAGUAGGGAAUCUUCCACAAUGGGUGCAAGCCUGAUGGAGCAAUGCCGCGUGAGUGAAGAAGGACUUCGGUUCGUAAAGCUCUGUUGUUGGGGAAGAACACGGAUAGGAGUCACUGCCUAUCCCUUGACGGUACCCAACCAGAAAGUCACGGCUAACUACGUGCCAGCAGCCGCGGUAAUACGUAGGUGACAAGCGUUGUCCGGAUUUAUUGGGCGUAAAGCGAGCGCAGGCGGUCCGGUAAGUCUGAUGUGAAAGCCCACGGCUCAACCGUGGAACGGCAUUGGAAACUGGCGGACUUGAAUGUAGCAGAGGAAAGUGGAAUUCCAUGUGUAGCGGUGGAAUGCGUAGAUAUAUGGAGGAACACCAGUGGCGAAAGCGACUUUCUGGGCUAUGAUUGACGCUGAGGCUCGAAAGCGUGGGGAGCGAACAGGAUUAGAUACCCGUGUAGU